Non-coding RNA from Leptonychotes weddellii (Weddell seal), 1929 nucleotides. Lineage: Eukaryota; Metazoa; Chordata; Mammalia; Carnivora; Phocidae. The record is from RefSeq and is a predicted model, not a curated record.
CACAUACGAAACCCCCCCCUGCCCGAGACCCUAUCCUCUGGAUUGCAGCUCUACUUGUAAUGUUGGUCAUUUUGUGUGGGAUGGUGUUGGUGUUCUUUCUAACACUAAGGAAAAGGAAGAAGAAGCAGCCUGGCCCCUCUCAUGAAUGUGGCAAUACAUUUUCUGAAGUUGUUUUGGUCUCUUCCAGAAACCAACAAAGUAGAGAGAAAAGAGAGUGAACAGACCAAGAAAAGAGUACAAUACCAUGUACCUGAAAGAUCUGAUGAAGCUCGGUGUGUUAACAUUUCGAAGACAACUUCAGGCGACAAAAGUACUACACAUUUUUAAUUAAAGAGUAAAAUCCAUAUGACCAUCCAUUGUUUAUAUGCCUUCGCUUUCAAAUUUUGGCUUACAUUUUUUCUUGUCCAUUAAUAUUAUUGUUACCAUUAAUAAUAGCAGGGGCUCCAGGACUCCUUGUAAGUGAGAUGACCUCCCUAUAAUGCCAGUUCUGCUCCCUAUGCCAGGAGCAGAUUUUAACUGCUUCUUUUCAUUUUGGAGCACACUUGUAGGCCAAGCUCACCUGACUGGUUCCUGGCUCAGGACUGAUGUUUAAGACUAACACCUCCUGUUUCAGAUUCAGCCUUCUUUUCUUAAUUCUAUAAAUUGUGUUUUAUGUAGAACUCCCAAUUACUGGAAUAAUGGCUUUUAUCUAUGCUUAAUUCUAAAACAGUGCCUCAUUCCAUCUUGUGUAUUUGUGACUACCUCUUCAGUCUGGGUGGGAGUUAUGUAUGUUAUGGCUUUAUAGUGCUGUUAUUAAUAUUUUGAAACAUAAAGAGAUGUGUACUAUAAUAAUGUAAUUACUAUGUCCUGAGAAAAUUUACCCACUUCUCUGUGAGGGUCAGUAGGAAAAUGGUGGGUUGGUGUGCUGACAACAAUGAGCAGACCGACUCAAAAUUUGGAAAAUUAGGAAUGAUGGAGAUAGAACCAGCUCUGAAUCCUGGAGCCACUUCUAUCUGGGCUGCUGCUAAUCUGAGGAGGAUCCACCUGCCCAACAAGCUAUUGAUAAGCCUUAGCAGAGAGCACUGUGUAAAGCAGGAAAGCACUAUGCACUGUGAACCCUACUUCUCUUCUUGAAAUAAGUGACUGAGAUGAUGGCCCAGGGCAAUUGUUCAAGAGCCAAUAUGAGAGAUCACAAUACUCAAAAGAGAGAAAGAAAAAAAAGGGAAAGCUCUUAACCGACAGAGAUGCACAUGAAUGUCCUAUCUGUCCAGCCCUCUAGCAAGCAAAAGGUGAACAGACUGUCCAAAAGAACUUCAGACAGACAGCACCUUCCUUGGUGGUUGGUGAGAAGUCUGGAUAAUACUCAAGUUAUCGUGAUGCUCCAUCUGGCUGGAGGCAGAGCUGGGAGGGAGAGCUAUCAUCUUGAUAAUGGGAUAAACGGAAGGAGGCUUAGGACUCUUUCAACUCAUGGCUGAGAAAGAAGGAGCUAGAGUGGAAUUAGGAGGACCAAGAUGCAAAUCAUCCAGAGGCCAACAUAGUUGGCAGGUGUCCUAGGAAGGGAUCAGCUGGUUCAGAGCAGGGCUCGCAAAUUUGUGUCUGAUACUGUCUAUGUCAUUCUCAACGAUGGGAAAACUGGAUGCACAAGAGGACUAUGCUAGCCCAGCAGAAAUGAGUUAGGUGACCCUGGCUCUAAGGCAGCAUCGCUAAUGGACAGAGCAGCCUCAGUCCAAGCCGAGACAGAACUUUGGGAGGCCCAACGCACAGAAAUAUUUCUUCUUAUUCUACAUAAAGGAACCUAGAAGAUUGUAGACAGCUGUGCUAGCCAUGCUUGCCUUGUAAUAUUACCAUUUGUGUAUUGUGCCCUGCCUCUGCCUUCAUUAGGCUGAGGUAGCUUGUUGGUUCCUAACAUGUUUUAUACAGUGAGCUCUUAAUAAACUUUUCUUAAAUUGA